Molecule: ribosomal RNA, 1297 nt
Filed under: 'Citrus maxima' XXXII phytoplasma
Lineage: Bacteria; Bacillati; Mycoplasmatota; Mollicutes; Acholeplasmatales; Acholeplasmataceae
Description: bacterial SSU rRNA
Rfam family: Bacterial small subunit ribosomal RNA
Source: RNAcentral
CUGCCUUUAAGACGAGGAUAACAAGUGGAAACAUUUGCUAAGACUGGAUAGGAAAUAGAAGGAUAACCUUUUAUUUUUAAAAGACCUUCUUCGGAAGGUAUGCUUAAAGAAGGGCUUGCGCCACAUUAGUUAGUUGGUAGGGUAAAAGCCUACCAAGACUAUGAUGUGUAGCUGGACUGAGAGGUUGAACAGCCACAUUGGGACUGAGACACGGCCCAAACUCCUACGGGAGGCAGCAGUAGGGAAUUUUCGGCAAUGGAGGAAACUCUGACCGAGCAACGCCGCGUGAACGAAGAAGUAUUUAGGUAUGUAAAGUUCUUUUAUUGAAGAAGAAAAAAUAGUGGAAAAACUAUCUUGACGCUAUUCAAUGAAUAAGCCCCGGCUAACUAUGUGCCAGCAGCCGCGGUAAGACAUAGGGGGCGAGCGUUAUCCGGAAUUAUUGGGCGUAAAGGGUGCGUAGGCGGUUAGAUAAGUCUAUAAUUUAAUUUCAGUGCUUAACGCUGUUCUGUUAUAGAAACUGUCUAGCUAGAGUGAGAUAGAGGCAAGUGGAAUUCCAUGUGUAGCGGUAAAAUGUGUAAAUAUAUGGAGGAACACCAGAAGCGUAGGCGGCUUGCUGGGUCUUUACUGACGCUGAGGCACGAAAGCGUGGGUAGCAAACAGGAUUAGAUACCCUGGUAGUCCACGCCGUAAACGAUGAGUACUAAGUGUCGGGGUUAAACUCGGUACUGAAGUUAACACAUUAAGUACUCCGCCUGAGUAGUACGUACGCAAGUAUGAAACUUAAAGGAAUUGACGGGACUCCGCACAAGCGGUGGAUCAUGUUGUUUAAUUCGAAGAUACACGAAAAACCUUACCAGGUCUUGACAUACUCUGCAAAGCUAUAGAAAUAUAGUGGAGGUUAUCAGGGAUACAGGUGGUGCAUGGUUGUCGUCAGCUCGUGUCGUGAGAUGUUAGGUUAAGUCCUAAAACGAGCGCAACCCUUGUCGUUAAUUGCCAGCACGUUAUGGUGGGGACUUUAGCGAGACUGCCAAUUAAAAAUUGGAGGAAGGUGAGGAUUACGUCAAAUCAUCAUGCCCCUUAUGAUCUGGGCUACAAACGUGAUACAAUGGCUGUUACAAAGAGUAGCUGAAAUGCGAGUUUUUAGCCAAUCUCAAAAAAGCAGUCUCAGUUCGGAUUGAAGUCUGCAACUCGACUUCAUGAAGUUGGAAUCGCUAGUAAUCGCGAAUCAGCAUGUCGCGGUGAAUACGUUCUCGGGGUUUGUACACACCGCCCGUCAAACCACGAAAGUUGAUAAUAC